This 73-nucleotide transfer RNA is filed under the name Methanobacteriota archaeon. Its description in RNAcentral is "Euryarchaeota archaeon tRNA-Ile". It matches the Rfam family "tRNA". From Rfam's summary of the family: Transfer RNA (tRNA) molecules are approximately 80 nucleotides in length. Their secondary structure includes four short double-helical elements and three loops (D, anti-codon, and T loops). The record is from RNAcentral. Lineage: Archaea; Methanobacteriati; Methanobacteriota.
ACUCAUUUAGCUCAGUUGGUAGAGCAUCGGUCUUAUGAGCCGAGGGUCGUGGGUUCAAAUCCCACAUUGAGUA